Molecule: long non-coding RNA, 413 nt
Organism: Penaeus indicus
Lineage: Eukaryota; Metazoa; Arthropoda; Malacostraca; Decapoda; Penaeidae
Exons: 3
Source: RefSeq, a predicted model, not a curated record
CUCUGGUGGGAGGUCAAGGCCUGCGAUCGGAGAGAAAGAGAGAUAGAGAAAGAGUUUGGAAAUUCAAUGGAUUGAUCACAACAAUAUAUAUACCUAUAGACCUGAAUCUUUUUUCGGUGGUGUUUUUUUCUCCUUAACCCUUCCCCCCCCCCCUUCCGACCCGCGCGUAAAUCCACAGAGUCAAUAUUAAUAAAUCUCAAGCGAGGACAUCUAUCCCGCGAUCAUGCACUGGCAAGAGGGACUGUUGCUGUUGCUUAUUGCAGCGGCAGGAUCGACUACCUUCACCAAUGUGACGUGUUCGCCGAGCUCCUUCGAGUGCAGCAACAAGGAGAAGUGCAUCCCCCUCAGCUGGUGCUGCGACGGACGGGCUGACUGCGAGAAUGGCUCCGACGAGGCCCCGGACAUCUGCUCAG